UACGUAGGGGGCAAGCGUUGUCCGGAUUUAUUGGGCGUAAAGCGCACGCAGGCGGUCUGCCAAGUUCGGAGUGACAGUUUCCGGCUUAACCGGAAAAGGUCUUCGAAAACUGGUGGACUUGAGGACUUGAGGGGGAGACGGAAUUCCGGGUGGAGCGGUGAAAUGCGUAGAGAUCGGGAGGAACACCCGUGGCGAAGGCGGCCAACUGGGCCGGACCUGACGCUGAGGCGCGAAGGCGUGGGGAGCGAACGGG
RNAcentral lists this ribosomal RNA (253 nucleotides) under uncultured bacterium. RNAcentral describes it as "partial 16S ribosomal RNA". It matches the Rfam family "Bacterial small subunit ribosomal RNA", at positions 524 to 776 of the family's 1533-position model. The record is from RNAcentral.